Molecule: ribosomal RNA, 476 nt
Filed under: uncultured bacterium
Lineage: Bacteria
Description: bacterial SSU rRNA
Rfam family: Bacterial small subunit ribosomal RNA
Source: RNAcentral
ACUCCUACGGGAGGCAGCAGUGAGGGAUAUUGCACAAUGGGGGAAACCCUGAUGCAGCGACGCCGCGUGGGUGAUGAAGGCUUUCGGGUCGUAAAACCCUUUUUGGCAUGACGAGAACGGACGGUAGUGCCAGAAUAAGUCUCGGCUAACUACGUGCCAGCAGCCGCGGUAAAACGUAGGAGGCAAGCGUUAUCCGGAGUUACUGGGCGUAAAGGGUGCGUAGGCGGCUCAUCAAGUGGGACGUGAAAGCUCACGGCUAAACUGUGAGAGGACGACUCAGACUGAAGGGCUAGAGGGUGUCAGAGGCGUGCGGAAUUCGGGGUGUAGCGGUGAAAUGUGUAGAGAUCCCGAGGAACACCAGUGGUGCAAACGGCGCGCUGGGACACAACUGACGCUGAAGCACGAAAGCGUGGGGAGCGAACGGGAUUAGAGACCCCGGUAGUCCACGCCGUAAACGAUGUCAACUAGGUGUCUGC